RNAcentral lists this small RNA (82 nucleotides) under Polaribacter sp. KT 15. Its description in RNAcentral is "Flavo-1 RNA". It matches the Rfam family "Flavo-1 RNA". The record is from RNAcentral. Lineage: Bacteria; Pseudomonadati; Bacteroidota; Flavobacteriia; Flavobacteriales; Flavobacteriaceae.
AAUUAGCACGCGUUAAGGAUUGAAGUGGCAUCCUUUUUUUGAGGUAGGAUAAAAAAAGAUAGAACGUAAAGCCUGUUAAAAC